Long non-coding RNA from Triplophysa dalaica, 1591 nucleotides. RefSeq lists it as uncharacterized. Lineage: Eukaryota; Metazoa; Chordata; Actinopteri; Cypriniformes; Nemacheilidae. The record is from RefSeq and is a predicted model, not a curated record. The transcript has 7 exons.
GUUCUCCAGACGUGGACAACUAUUCUGAAGAAGACAAUGACAGUUAUUCUUCAGAGCAGGAGGUCAGUGAUGAUGCCGUUCAGGGUCAGUGGAUAUGAACAGAAGUUCAGAUGCGUCUAUAGCGCUUCACUCUACAGCUGUUGAGCAGACGGCUGGGGGGAUGUCACAUGUGACGGAGAUGUGAACGCAGACAAAUCAGCAGCAAACAUCGGCAAACUCUGCAAGGCCGAGUCUCAGACUCUCAUGUCGUGGAGACGCUGUGUGUUUCGUUGAAUAAAGAAAGACCCUUUGUUUGCCCUGCCAUCAUGACAUAGCUGAAAACGAAUGGACCAAUUUUAUUUACAACACUGUUCCAGGAAAGUACAAAUCGAAUGUUAAAGCGUACGUAACAUGACAUCAUAAAAAUGACGUUUCAUGCAGUCUGUUAUAUUGCCGUGUUUGAAAGUAAGCUGUCUGCCAAGUUGUAAGUCGGAAGGUGAAUAAAUAACGAAGUUAUUUGCUUUUAAAACUGAGAGUCGACUCUGAAUCACACAAACGAGUCGAGGAUGCAUAUCUACGUCACUAUACAUAAACGUGUUGCUGAGACUGCCGGGAAAACUUAUGUCUCCUUCCCCAAACACUGUCGCUCGUUUGUGAUGCAUGUGUAUCAUGUCUUGAGUCAGUGUUCUACGGUGUGACACGGUCGGUCUUAUUUCAACUACCAAAGGAAGAACGUCUGAGGGGAAAAUGGUAUCGUUGGAAAAAUGAUUUGUAACCAAAGGAGUAUAAACCCAGAGUUUAACUGUGCGUGUCAUUUCACAGAUGAUUGCUUUGAUAAUCUUGGCGUGUUCAGUGCAGGAUAUGUGAAACAACUAUCCUUGAAAGAGGGGCAAUACCAACUCUAUUUGGACCUUUUAGCUCCACCGAGUCCCAACCUGAGCAGACGGCUGGGGGGAUGUCACAUGUGACGGGGAUGUGAACGCAGACAAAUCAGCAGCAAACAUCGGCAAACUCUGCAAGGCCGAGUCUCAGACUCUCAUGUCGUGGAGACGCUGUGUCUUUCGUUGAAUAAAGAAAGACCCUUUUUUUGUCCUGCCAUUACAUAGCUGAAAACGAAUGGUCCAAUUUUAUUUACAACACUGUUCCAGAAAAGUACAAAUCGAAUGUUCAAGUUUGAGCAGCGCAUUUCCAGACAACUGCUUCACGAACGCUUUGGUUAAAAGUGGGGCUAUUCCAACCAUUAAAACUUUACAAGGACAGUCUGGAGCUUCUGAUUUGCAGCCUUUUCACAGAUAUUCAGAUGAGUCUACAGCACUGGACUCAACAGCUGUGGAGCAGACGGCUGGGGGGGAUGUCACAUGUGACGGAUGUGAACGCAGACAAAUCAGCAGCAAAUAUCGGCAAACUCUGCAAGGCCGAGUCUCAGACUCUCAUGUCACUUAGACACACUGAUGGAGCAAUACAGGGCCCACCAGGAGGGCCCCGACCCCUCCACUAAGCUGCAGGACAAUGUCGCCAGCAAGGUGUAUCGCAUCAAGCGAUUUGUUGCGUACAUGGCCCAGGGAGGGGGCAAGCUCCAGACCCUGGACCUCCUCAAUGAUACGGAGAGGAU